UACAGAGGGUGCAAGCGUUAAUCGGAAUUACUGGGCGUAAAGGGUGCGUAGGCGGCGCGACAAGUCAAUGGUGAAAGCCCGAGGCUCAACUUCGGGUCGGCCACUGAUACUGUUGGGCUUGAGCACUGUAGAGGCAGGUGGAAUUCCGGGUGUAGCGGUGGAAUGCGUAGAGAUCCGGAAGAACACCGGUGGCGAAGGCGGCCUGCUGGGCAGUAGCUGACGCUGAUGCGCGACAGCGUGGGGAGCAAACAGG
Molecule: ribosomal RNA, 253 nt
Filed under: uncultured bacterium
Lineage: Bacteria
Description: partial 16S ribosomal RNA
Rfam family: Bacterial small subunit ribosomal RNA
Source: RNAcentral